UACCAGCACCCCGAGUGGUCGGGACGAUUAUUGGGCCUAAAGCAUCCGUAGCCGGCCUUACAAGUCCUCCGUUAAAUCCAGCUGCUUAACAGAUGGGCUGCGGAGGAUACUAUAAGACUAGGAGGCAGGAGAGGCAAGCGGUACUCAGUGGGUAGGGGUAAAAUCCGUUGAUCCAUUGAAGACCACCAGUGGUGAAGGCGGCUUGCCAGAAUGCGCUCGACGGUGAGGGAUGAAAGCUGGGGGAGCAAACCGG
Molecule: ribosomal RNA, 253 nt
Filed under: uncultured bacterium
Lineage: Bacteria
Description: partial 16S ribosomal RNA
Rfam family: Archaeal small subunit ribosomal RNA
Source: RNAcentral